This 579-nucleotide ribosomal RNA is filed under the name Triticum aestivum (bread wheat). RNAcentral describes it as "partial small subunit ribosomal RNA". The record is from RNAcentral. Lineage: Eukaryota; Viridiplantae; Streptophyta; Magnoliopsida; Poales; Poaceae.
GCGUCGCAACACUAAAGGUCACGCGAUCAGCAAGGUAGAACCACGAUUGAUCGAUCAAAAACGGGAGAACGUGUCCGCGCCUUGAUCGAGUGGGGCCAUGCCUCUCUUACGAUGGAUCGCGAACGGCAAGCUAAACCAACGAAUGGUAGGAGGACCACGACAAUAAACAGAUGAGGACGGACGAAUGUUCCCCAAAGCACGUGCGUCGGGGUCGAGCUUUGACGGUAGGACCAUUGGGCUAUCCGACGGGUGGCCAUAUGACGGGUGGAGCGACGACUAUCCUUCCCAUGACCAAGACAUGUUACCUCGUACGCUUAAACACCUACUACCGACCAGGCUCCGUAGACAGCGAGCAAAGAAGAGGUGCUCGAUAACGCGUAGUUCAAGAAGACUGAUAAUUACUUCGCAAUUAGUAAGAUGUCCUCAGUUAAUGAAAGAUGUUCACAUUAGGCAAGCUAGUUAAGCGUAAAAUUCUCGUAAUCAGAAAAAAUCGCUUACUUAUAUGUCCUCACCUGCUCGGGCAGUAAGGUUAAAAUAUCCGUCUUUAACUCACUGUACAUGGUCGUUUAUUUCCGGUUG